RNAcentral lists this long non-coding RNA (561 nucleotides) under Rattus norvegicus (Norway rat). Its description in RNAcentral is "long non-coding RNA NONRATT033369". Lineage: Eukaryota; Metazoa; Chordata; Mammalia; Rodentia; Muridae. The record is from RNAcentral.
CACAAAUCAUAGCCAAAGACCAAGGAAAUGGGUCCUGUAUGUUCUCUUGGAAACAUUUUUUAUGCUAGCAAACCAACUUUGGGGAAAUAAAUACCCUGGUAUUUUCACCCCCUGCACCUGAAAUUAGACUCAUUUUGUGUCUUUUAUUUCCUGCAAGGUGAAAUAUGUAAGUAUUUUAUGUUUAUUUCUCCCACUUUGAACCUAUAGGAAACCUGACACUUUGACUGCUUUGAUCACUUACUUCCUUCCUUCUUGACCAAGUGGGACUCAAAGGCACCCCGUGAUCUAAGCACAACAGAAAACAGCAAGUGUUGAGUCUCCUGGAAGUGAAUUCUAUUUACGUUCUCUUUAUAUUAUCUGAAGGGUCUUACACUGCUGUUUGUAAUCUUGCAAUGCAUAUUGGUACUGAAGGAGGCAAGGCUCUGCUCUAACGGCCUUUCAACUAGUUCCUGGGAGUUGUCUUUCACACAAACAGCAAGUGCUACAGACUUUACCGUCAUGGAAGGAGAAAGAGACAAGUGCACAGGUAAGACAUUUGAGAGCUGUCUAGAUAGUGAGUUU